AUUAUACUCCCUUCGUCCGAAAAUACUUGUUUUAGAAAUUGAUAUAAUGAAUGUAUCUAUAACUAAAAUAAAUCUAGAUACGUUCAUUUCUAGGACAAGUAUUUUCGGACGGAGGGAGUAUUAA
Non-coding RNA from Hordeum vulgare subsp. vulgare (domesticated barley), 124 nucleotides. The record is from Rfam. Lineage: Eukaryota; Viridiplantae; Streptophyta; Magnoliopsida; Poales; Poaceae.